UGAGGAAUAUUGGUCAAUGGAGGCAACUCUGAACCAGCCAUGCCGCGUGCAGGAAGAAUGCCCUAUGGGUUGUAAACUGCUUUUAUUUGGGAAGAAACCCCUUUACGUGUAGAGGGCUGACGGUACCAAAGGAAUAAGGACCGGCUAACUCCGUGCCAGCAGCCGCGGUAAUACGGAGGGUCCAAGCGUUAUCCGGAAUCAUUGGGUUUAAAGGGUGCGCAGGCGGUAGCGUAAGUCAGUGGUGAAAGCCUACAGCUCAACUGUAGAACUGCCAUUGAUACUGCAUUACUUGAAUAUAGUUGAAGUAGGCGGAAUGUGUAGUGUAGCGGUGAAAUGCUUAGAUAUUACACAGAACACCGAUAGCGAAGGCAGCUUACUAAACUAAAAUUGACGCUCAUGC
Molecule: ribosomal RNA, 400 nt
Filed under: uncultured bacterium
Lineage: Bacteria
Description: bacterial SSU rRNA
Rfam family: Bacterial small subunit ribosomal RNA
Source: RNAcentral